This 45-nucleotide non-coding RNA is filed under the name Schistosoma mansoni. The record is from RNAcentral. Lineage: Eukaryota; Metazoa; Platyhelminthes; Trematoda; Strigeidida; Schistosomatidae.
AUAUUGCUGAAGAGUCUUAAAUAGGACGAAAGGCGCGUCCUGGAC